AUGAACGCUGGCGGCGUGCCUCAUCCAUGCCAGUCGCGCGAACAGAUGAGGAGCUUGCUCCUCUGACGUUAGCGGCGGCCGGGUGAGUAACACGUGGAUAACCUACCUAUAAGACUGGGAUAACUUCGGGAAACCGGAGCUAAUACCGGAUAAUAUAUUGAACCGCAUGGUUCAAUAGUGAAAGACGGUUUUGCUGUCACUUAUAGAUGGAUCCGCGCCGCAUUAGUUAGUUGGUAAGGUAACGGCUUACCAAGGCAACGAUGCGUAGCCGACCUGAGAGGCGGGUAGCCGACAUUGGAGCGGGGACACGUUCCAGACUCCUACGGGAGGCAGCAGUAGGGAAUCUUCCGCAAUGGGCGAAAGCCUGACGGAGCAACGCCGCGUGAGUGAUGAAGGUCUUCGGAUCGUAAAACUCUGUUAUUAGGGAAGAACAAAUGUGUAAGUAACUAUGCACGUCUUGACGGUACCUAAUCAGAAAGCCACGGCUAACUACGUG
Molecule: ribosomal RNA, 496 nt
Filed under: uncultured bacterium
Lineage: Bacteria
Description: partial 16S ribosomal RNA
Rfam family: Bacterial small subunit ribosomal RNA
Source: RNAcentral